Molecule: ribosomal RNA, 500 nt
Filed under: uncultured bacterium
Lineage: Bacteria
Description: partial 16S ribosomal RNA
Rfam family: Bacterial small subunit ribosomal RNA
Source: RNAcentral
AUUGAACGCCGGCGGCAUGCCUUACACAUGCAAGUCGAACGGCAGCACGGGAGCAAUCCUGGUGGCGAGUGGCGAACGGGUGAGUAAUGUAUCGGAACGUGCCCAGUCGUGGGGGAUAACGCAGCGAAAGCUAUGCUAAUACCGCAUACGAUCUAUGGAUGAAAGCGGGGGAUCGCAAGACCUCGCGCGAUUGGAGCGGCCGAUAUCAGAUUAGCUAGUUGGGGGGGUAAAAGCUUACAAAGGCGAGGAUCGGUAGCUGGUCUGGGAGGACGACCAGCCACACUGGAACGGAGACACGGUCCAGACUCCUACGGGAGGCAGCAGUGGGGAAUUUUGGACAAUGGGCGCAAGCCUGAUCCAGCAAUGCCGCGUGCAGGAUGAAGGCCUUCGGGUUGUAAACUGCUUUUGUACGGAGCGAAAAGGCUCUCUCUAAUACAGGGGGCUCAUGACGGUACCGUAAGAAUAAGCACCGGCUAACUACGUGCCAGCCGCCGCCGUAA